UGGAGAGUUUGAUCCUGGCUCAGGACGAACGCUGGCGGCGUGCUUAACACAUGCAAGUCGAGCGGAAAGGCCCCUUCGGGGGUACUCGAGCGGCGAACGGGUGAGUAACUCGUGAGCAACC
RNAcentral lists this ribosomal RNA (121 nucleotides) under Actinomadura geliboluensis. RNAcentral describes it as "partial 16S ribosomal RNA". It matches the Rfam family "Bacterial small subunit ribosomal RNA", at positions 1 to 126 of the family's 1533-position model. Lineage: Bacteria; Bacillati; Actinomycetota; Actinomycetes; Streptosporangiales; Thermomonosporaceae. The record is from RNAcentral.